RNAcentral lists this ribosomal RNA (301 nucleotides) under uncultured bacterium. RNAcentral's name for it is "partial 16S ribosomal RNA". It matches the Rfam family "Bacterial small subunit ribosomal RNA", at positions 509 to 807 of the family's 1533-position model. The record is from RNAcentral.
CAGUAGCCGCGGGAAUACGGAGGGAGCUAGCGUUGUUCGGAAUUACUGGGCGUAAAGCGCGCGUAGGCGGUUACUCAAGUCAGAGGUGAAAGCCCGGGGCUCAACCCCGGAACUGCCUUUGAAACUAUGUGACUAGAAUCUUGGAGAGGUCAGUGGAAUUCCGAGUGUAGAGGUGAAAUUCGUAGAUAUUCGGAAGAACACCAGUGGCGAAGGCGACUGACUGGACAAGUAUUGACGCUGAGGUGCGAAAGCGUGGGGAGCAAACAGGAUUAGAUACCCGCGUAGUCCCUGUCUCUUAUAC